Long non-coding RNA from Parus major (Great Tit), 647 nucleotides. RefSeq lists it as uncharacterized. The transcript is spliced from 4 exons. NCBI's taxonomy places the organism in Eukaryota, Metazoa, Chordata, Aves, Passeriformes, Paridae. The record is from RefSeq and is a predicted model, not a curated record.
CUUCAGUGCAUCCAGGAACCUCGUGGAUUGCUUAUGCCCUCUGCAUUGUACCUCCAGCAGAUGUCCAGGUGGUUGGAGUACCCCAGGAGGACCAGGGCUGGUGAAGGUUUGUUUGGCUCGUCAACUUUCUGGAACAGGGCUGUCCUCUCAUUUAAACUGGAAAAUGCUUUCUCAGAGAUACCAAUGAAGAAGAUUUUGGUUGUAUGUUUGUUUCCUCCUGUGAAGACUGCUGCAGGAGAUACAUGCCAUUAGGUGUGCUUAGUCUGGGGGAAGUAUUUCUUGUUGCUGUGGCUGUCCCAGCUCGAGGGGAGCUGGAGAAAACAUGGCAGUGCUUUGAACUUCUUCACAUGCUAGAGCUGAUUCAGCCUUUCAAGUGUUCCUUGAAGCUUCCGUGAGACUGAGCUGAUUAAGGAUCAACUGGGCAGUUCCAUGUCAGAAGUCUACUGAUGUUGCCUGGUCCUAGGAAAUUAAUCCUAUGUUCAGACUCACCAGCUCUGCUUAAAAAAUAUUUUAUAAUUUUUGUGGAUUGUGAUCUGUUUUGUUGGGCAUCUCAAGUAAAUCUAGGGUGAUGGCUGGGCAAUAUAAUUUAGAUUUAUGUAAAAAAGAUGUUUUGAGGACUCUUCUGAGUGAAGUGGCAAUGCCAAUGU